CUUGACGACCAUAGAGCAUUGGAACCACCUGAUCCCAUCCCGAACUCAGCAGUGAAACGAUGCAUCGCCGA
This 71-nucleotide ribosomal RNA is filed under the name Pseudomonas marginalis. RNAcentral also lists the same sequence under 78 other names. The record is from RNAcentral. Lineage: Bacteria; Pseudomonadati; Pseudomonadota; Gammaproteobacteria; Pseudomonadales; Pseudomonadaceae.